UCCGGUUUGACACCGGCAGUCUCCUAUGAGUCCCCGACAUAACUCGCUGGCAACAUAGGACGGGGGUUGCGCUCGCUGCGGGACUUAACCCAACAUCUCACGACACGAGCUGGCGACAGCCAUGCACCACCUGUGAUCGUGCCCCGAAGGGAAGACGUGUUUCCACGCCGGUCACGAACAUGUCAAGCCCAGGUAAGGUUCUUCGCGUUGCGUCGAAUUAAACCACAUGCUCCGCUGCUUGUGCGGGCCCCCGUCAAUUCCUUUGAGUUUUAGCCUUGCGGCCGUACUCCCCAGGCGGGGCACUUAAUGCGUUAGCUUCGGCACGGGAGGAGUCGACACCUCCCACACCUAGUGCCCAUCGUUUACGGCGUGGACUAC
RNAcentral lists this unclassified non-coding RNA (378 nucleotides) under uncultured Thermoleophilia bacterium. Its description in RNAcentral is "contains 16S-23S intergenic spacer region". The record is from RNAcentral. Lineage: Bacteria; Bacillati; Actinomycetota; Thermoleophilia.